CCUACGGGAGGCAGCAGUGGGGAAUAUUGGGCAAUGGGCGCAAGCCUGACCCAGCAACGCCGCGUGAAGGAAGAAGGCUUUCGGGUUGUAAACUUCCUUUUACAGGGAAGAGUAGAAGACGGUACCUGUCGAAUAAGCCACGGCUAACUACGUGCCAGCAGCCGCGGUAAUACGUAGGUGGCAAGCGUUGUCCGGAUUUACUGGGUGUAAAGGUCGUGUAGGCGGGAGAGCAAGUCAGAUGUGAAAUUCCAGGGCUCAACCCUGGAACUGCAUUUGACACUGUUUUUCUUGAGUGAUGGAGAGGCAGGCGGAAUUCGGGGUGUAGCGGUGAAAUGCGUAGAUAUACGGAGGAACACCAGUGGCGAAGGCAGCCUGCUGGACAUUAACUGACGCUGAGGCGCGAAAGCGUGGGGAGCAAACAGGAUUAGAUACCCCUGUAGUC
This 442-nucleotide ribosomal RNA is filed under the name uncultured bacterium. RNAcentral describes it as "partial 16S ribosomal RNA". It matches the Rfam family "Bacterial small subunit ribosomal RNA", at positions 338 to 795 of the family's 1533-position model. The record is from RNAcentral.